CACCGCCCGUCGCACCUACCGAUUGAAUGAUUCGGUGAAAAUUCUGGACUUUGGUUUCCACGCCCCCGGGCGACUUAAUCGGAGAAAGUUAUUUAAACCUCAUCAUUUAGAGGAAGGUGAAGUCGUAACAAGGUUUCCGUAGGUGAACCUGCGGAAGGAUCAUUACCACUCUCUUUACCAAG
RNAcentral lists this ribosomal RNA (182 nucleotides) under Synura sp. CNU52. RNAcentral describes it as "partial 18S ribosomal RNA". It matches the Rfam family "Eukaryotic small subunit ribosomal RNA", at positions 1667 to 1831 of the family's 1831-position model. The record is from RNAcentral. Lineage: Eukaryota; Synurophyceae; Synurales; Mallomonadaceae.